Molecule: ribosomal RNA, 253 nt
Filed under: uncultured bacterium
Lineage: Bacteria
Description: partial 16S ribosomal RNA
Rfam family: Bacterial small subunit ribosomal RNA
Source: RNAcentral
UACGAAGGGGGCGAGCGUUGUUCGGAUUUACUGGGCGUAAAGGGCGCGCAGGCGGUCUUGUUUGUCGAGUGUGAAAGCCCCGGGCUCAACCUGGGAACUGCGCUCGAAACGGCGAGACUAGAGUUCGGGAGAGGAGAGUGGAAUUCCCAGUGUAGAGGUGAAAUGCGUAGAGAUCGGAAAGAACACCAACGGCGAAAGCACUCUGCUGGGCCGACACUGACACUGAGAGACGAAAGCUAGGGGAGCGAAUGGG